RNAcentral lists this ribosomal RNA (609 nucleotides) under Triticum aestivum (bread wheat). Its description in RNAcentral is "partial small subunit ribosomal RNA". Lineage: Eukaryota; Viridiplantae; Streptophyta; Magnoliopsida; Poales; Poaceae. The record is from RNAcentral.
AUGGUACUUAGGCAGUUCCCUUUGAGCAAUAUGUGCUUUCGUGACCAACAUCUUUGGCGUGUGCGUUGCCCCAUGAUAUGCUUUUAUGCGGUGGAGUGGCAUCUUCCACAUCGUGUUUCGAAGCAAUUUGGAGUACAACAACGCACCCCGCCGGAGUAUGUUGAGACAAGUGUGGUGCUACAUAUGACGAGCCGGCAACACAACAAGAAUGUCAUUAAUUGGGAGGAUCACCAUCUUAUGUGGGUGGACAUGUGGAAUGCUCAGAGGAAUGCCCGAGUUGAAGAUGAUCACACACCUGACAACGACGAGGGGGCAUAUUUAAGGCGUUUGGAGUGGCUUCGCAAAGAGUACAGAGUUAUCCUUAAGGGUGCUUGGACUCGUGCCAAUUGUUUGGAAGUAAUGCCAAGUGAGGCUGCUGAUGGUGCAUUCAACAACUCUAUUAGGGAGACCAUUGGAGCGCACCUAGAUUAUGGCCCUCUGCAUGACCGAGUGGGCACAGAGCUAUGGAGAUGUAUCAAUGAUAGUAAUGUGGUGCUUGGCCGCCCACCUGGUAGAGAAACGGACGGUCUCGUUAGGAGUACUCUACAGAAGGUUGUGAAUCGUUGCUGA